ACAAUGAAAUUAUAUAACAUUAGUGGAUAACUAUCUGCUACUAGCCCCAUUUUCCACCUUGCAAUCAACUUAGCCAUGCACCAUCCAUUCAUCUCGGCAAUCUAGAACAACAGCAAAAUGCUGACAUGAGUAAUAUAUCAUUAGAGAAAAAAAAAUGAAGUUAAUAGAGCAAUAUAAUCUAAAGAGAAGCAACAUACAAAGGUUGAAGCCCAUGAGAUAGCUAAUCCAACUGUAUGAUCAAUAAUUUUGACAUUUUUUAUUGCCGUAUCAACUAAACAUAUUUUUCCAAUGUGGAUCAUUACACAUUGCUGACAAUUCAUUUCCAAAGCUAACAACCUGAAUUUUAUAUGCUAGGUCGGUACUUACCUGUGUGGCAAUCAGAGUUCGUCUGGGCCAACAGGUACAUGGAUUUUGUUUAUACAUUUCCCAAAUUGCAAUGAUAAGCACAUCUCUGAAAAUCAAGAGUGCGGUGAGAAUACAAUCAAAUCAUGGUCAAUGGUUCCACCUUUAGUUAUUGAAGGCACACAAUUAGAAUAUAGAAUAUAAAAGAUCCCACUAAUAAAAAUAUACAAUAAAUAGGUUGUUUUGGCGCUAUUCUUGAAUUGCUGGUCAUGCAUGCCAAUAGAAUUAUCUAGCAACACGUGUACACUUCUUUUUACCAUUUAUUGUAUACACAUGUGCAGGGCAGAACAAAAUCUCACGAUAAUGUAAUAAAUACAGCAUGCUUGCAUAGAAAUUAUUUUGCUCCAUAGACCACUUCUAAAUUAUGCCCCAUAUUACUUAGUACAUCAGGAUGUUAUGUUUUAUACUGAAGCACAAAGAGAUAUCUAAAGAUAUACAUAGGUCAUAUCAUCGUUUGCACUGCUGGACAUCCAUACACAUAGUUUUAACAUUUUUUGUUAACUGAACAAAAAAGUCCAACAGUACUAACCCCUGCAAUACAUAUAUAGAUAGAGGGAGU
RNAcentral lists this long non-coding RNA (961 nucleotides) under Triticum aestivum (bread wheat). Its description in RNAcentral is "long non-coding RNA (TAES_LNC021883)". The record is from RNAcentral. Lineage: Eukaryota; Viridiplantae; Streptophyta; Magnoliopsida; Poales; Poaceae.